GGCACAUGGAGGUCCUGGGCCAGGGAUCAGAUCUGAGCCGCAGCUGCGACCAUCAAGUGUGGCAACGCUGGAUCCUUAACCCACUGUGCCAGAUUUGGCCUGUUCUUUUCUCCCAGAGAAAGUUUUAUGCUGCUCAUCUCAGUCCCUAUCUUAGUCCUCCUAGAAGCAAAAAGACACACUUUCAGAGACAGGGAAAAGUUACCAUAUGAUCCAUACAGAUGAUUAGUUAAAAACAGUGAUGACCAUUUGGAAAUCAAACUUGUGACACGAGUCCUUUAUUUUUCCAUUUUAAAUUUUCUGAAGUUUGAACCUUAGGCACUUAAACUAAAGACGAAGCCGAUAAAAGAUGCCUCCCUGAGGCUCACACCUCUAUACUGACACCAAAGGAAAUACUGCCUCCCAGUGAAAUUCCGAGGCUGCUGUGUUGUGCCUGGAAAAGUGCUCGUGGAGCCUGCAUGCACCCCCCACCCCCCGCCCCCGUUUGAUGCAUGGAAAUCACUUCAACACCCCAAGCACAAAGGCAACUUCCCCACCCUCAAGGACAGUUUUCAGUCCUACAGAGGUGGUGGAGGGAAAGGCCCAGCGUGCACCUGCUCCCAUAGGGGUGAACUAGCUCUGUCAGCCUCCGGAGAGCAUGGGCUGCUUUGAGAGUGUGAUGAAGGGACAGCUCCUCUCCCUAGAAAAACCUGGACAAACAAACUUUAUCUUUCACUUUAGGGGGUUAGAAACCUCCUGAGAUGCCCCACGAUCCCCACGUUGAGAACUCUGGCCCUGAGUACAUGGCACAUUAUUCUAUCACACACCUGCGCUCACGCGGAGCUGUGACCAGUUGUUCGCAAAGUCUGCUGGGAGACCCCUGUCCCCACAAAGGGCCUGAGCGGAAGGGCGCAGGUGCACCUGCGUGUCCAAGCUCAGCAGGGGGCUGGCUCUUAGCAGAGCUGGUACAGGAUCUCGGACACGUUUGAGACGGAAAGCGAGGCUGUUAUCCAUCACAGCAGGCGUGCGCAGGGCUGUCCUAGGCACACCGGGACACACAGGCGCCCUUAGGAUGCCUUGACAAUCUCCCGAGGAAGACUCCCAUCAUUCUCUCCCUAUGGAACCUUCCGGAUUUUACAAUCUGAGGCGACACACAGGUAUCAGCUUGCAGAGGAAAACAUGCCAAAGAACCCAUCUACUUAUCAGAGGCAACCUCAAUCACACCUUGCUGCACGGAUGGGGGAGGUCACUGGGGCUCAGAAGGGUGUUCCCAGCCCUGCUCUGGGGAAGUUAACAGACUCUCUGGGCAUGAGUGUCCUGUUCUGAGAUUAAUUUAAUCUGGCAAAUAUCUGAACACGUGCUCUAUGUCAGCUGCCAGGAAAACCCUUGGUCUAUUAAGUGCACACGCGGAAAUGGAAGGACCUGCGGUCGCGUCCUCACCGACUCCUAGGCUCACAAUUUUCAGUUUCUUCUGCUCCCACAAUCGCCCCAUAACCCAGCAUUACUGGCAGAGUUUAGAAGGCUUUAGUGCGUUGAUCCACAGACAGGAAACUCGCCUGGAGAACGGAAGAACAAGGGCCAGAGAGUCCCCAGAGCAUGUUAGAUUUAGUGACGGUCACUGACAGCUGCCUGUGGAGUCAGUGACAAGUCUCGCACUGGAUCAACUACUUCCUGGGCACCAGGAAGACAUGGGAACCAAGCGUCUCCUUUUUUGAAGAGCGCGCUGGAACUCAGACCCCGCGGGUGCUGUCCUGCUUCCCAGCAGUCGCUCUGGAAGGCUACACCUGGACUCCAAGUGAACGGCACGUGGGAACUUUCCUUCCCGAGUGACCUUCCGAACCUGCAGCACCUCCCUGGCACUCUCCAUGGCAGCACAUCUUCCUCCUCUCAAGUGGCAUCACUUUGAGAAACCAGUUCAGAGCCUGGCACUCUCCAGGGCAGCAUGUCUUCCUCCUCUCAAAGAAACCAGUGCAGAGCCUAGUCUGGUCAGUGGGGUGAGUUCCCAAGCAAGGUAAGAGCAUUUCUGGUCACACGUGGGGUGUGACCACGGAAUGAGACUGAUACAUAUCCCAAACAAGGCUUAUAUAUUUACUACAAAAACAGGACUUCGAAAGAGGUUUGGCAAAGGAGCGCCAAUGAAUAUAAACAUAACCAUCCAGGCUAACAACUUUUAAUAGAGCAGCCCUACCUGAAUGCUCAAGUCUGGUACGCCUAGUUAAAAUGCAGAUUCAGGAGUUCCCGUCCUGGCACAGCGGAAACAAAUCUGACUGAGAACCAUGAGGUUGCGGGUUUGAUGCCUGGCCUCGCUCACUGAGUUAAGGAUCUGGCGUUGCCAUGAGCUGUGGUAUAGGUCACAGACGCGUCUCGGAUCUGGCAUUGCUGUGGCGGUGGCGUAGGCCAGCAGGGCAGCUGUAGCUCUGAUUGGACCCCUAGCCUGGGAAUCUCCAUAUGCCGCGGGUGCAGCCCUAAAAA
This 2448-nucleotide long non-coding RNA is filed under the name Sus scrofa (pig). Its description in RNAcentral is "lncRNA (ENSSSCG00005028133.1)". The record is from RNAcentral. Lineage: Eukaryota; Metazoa; Chordata; Mammalia; Artiodactyla; Suidae.